UGGCCUGCACCCAACUGCACAGCUUGUGCCUCGAAAUUGGUCACCCACGGUUUCUUUAUGAGAAGGGGGUAAGGGGAACUGGCAACUGGGGUUUUUUACUCGAUUGCAUAUCCCGUCCCAGGGCUUAAUAGGAGCGGGGUUGCGCUGGUGUCAAGAUGCCACCAAAGAAGGGAGGCGGGAAGAAGAAGGGCAAGUCGCCCGCGCAAAAGCGGGCAGCCCCUCAGGUGUCCCCUCCGUCGUCGUCCGAUGAGGACUCCUGGGCCAUGCUGAAGGAGCUACAGGCUAAAGUAGCAAGUUUGGAAGCAAGACAAACAGAGAGGCAGGCUUACAGGGACACAGCGGUUACGCCGCGUCGCUCGGCUCGGGAUACAAAGGGAAGGCGUAGGGCAGAAAUGAAGACAAUCACACUUGAAUUAAUGAAACGUUUCGAUGCCCUUGAGUCUGAACAGGUACAGGAUGUGGAAGGUCAGCACGUGAAUGAAGGUGUUCCAGCAGAACCCCUGGUGAGCGGUGGUCGGAAGCGAAGGAGGAAUGAGGCUGCAGACGUACAGGACGGGGCAGAGGGAACAUCUUAUGGGCAUUACACUGGUGAAGAACCGUCUACAAGUUCUCAAGGGGCGGUGGCUGCUUCAGGAGUACCAGAGACGGUUGGCGGUGAGUGCGAAGAAACACACGAUACAGUUGGACAGGUAUCAUCUUGGCCUUGGGCUGGGGGCUGGCAACAGCCGAGUGUUUCACCAGCUUCUGGGGUAACUCCUAACAUGGCAUGGCCAGGUUGUUUUUGGCCCCCAAUGGGCCAACAAUGGUUAGGAUGGGGUCUGCCUGUCACUAGCCGGGUACAACCAGCAGUGGCUGGAUCAGGUAUGACCCCGACAACACAGCAGCACCCAUCAGUACCAAACACGGGUUAUAAUACUGCUCCAAUUACAGCUAUGCCUUAUACUGACUAUAAUUCGCCGUUGGGUGAUCACCUGACCCCGGCAGUUAAAGAAAAGAUCUGGAAAGGCGAUUACAU
Molecule: long non-coding RNA, 1015 nt
Filed under: Pogona vitticeps (central bearded dragon)
Lineage: Eukaryota; Metazoa; Chordata; Lepidosauria; Squamata; Agamidae
Description: lncRNA (ENSPVIG00000005035.1)
Source: RNAcentral